AUUGAACGCUGGCGGCAGGCCUAGCACAUGCAAGUCGAACGGUAACAGGAAACAGCUUGCUGUUUCGCUGACGAAUGGCGGACGGGUGAGUAAUGUCUGGGAAACUGCCUGAUGGAGGGGGAUAACUACUGGAAACGGUAGCUAAUACCGCAUAACGUCGCAAGACCAAAGAGGGGGACCUUCGGGCCUCUUGCCAUCGGAUGUGCCCAGAUGGGAUUAGCUAGUAGGUGGGGUAACGGCUCACCUAGGCGACGAUCCCUAGCUGGUCUGAGAGGAUGACCAGCCACACUGGAACUGAGACACGGUCCAGACUCCUACGGGAGGCAGCAGUGGGGAAUAUUGCACAAUGGGCGCAAGCCUGAUGCAGCCAUGCCGCGUGUAUGAAGAAGGCCUUCGGGUUGUAAAGUACUUUCAGCGGGGAGGAAGGGAGUAAAGUUAAUACCUUUGCUCAUUGACGUUACCCGCAGAAGAAGCACCGGCUAACUCCGUG
RNAcentral lists this ribosomal RNA (490 nucleotides) under uncultured bacterium. Its description in RNAcentral is "partial 16S ribosomal RNA". It matches the Rfam family "Bacterial small subunit ribosomal RNA", at positions 30 to 507 of the family's 1533-position model. The record is from RNAcentral.